RNAcentral lists this unclassified non-coding RNA (984 nucleotides) under Hevea brasiliensis (rubber tree). Lineage: Eukaryota; Viridiplantae; Streptophyta; Magnoliopsida; Malpighiales; Euphorbiaceae. The record is from RNAcentral.
GAACAAGGAGACAUUCUUUUCUAUUGACUGAUCUCACUCCCUUACAUUAUGAGAUGUGAAAAAAUAAUAAAAGUUUAUAAAAAUAAAAAAGAGAGACUUCACUAAUAAUAGGAAAAAGAAUGGCUCAUUUUCUUAUCAGUUAAUUCAAAGAAAUAAAAAUUUUUCUCCGCACAACAGAUUUGACAACAAAUUAAAAACCCCAGAAAUAUUCUCCACAAUAUAUAAAUUCUGUGGAGAUCAUCAGCACCAUUAAUUGAAAAAAUAAAUGGUCAAACAAAGAAUUUGGAAUUGAAAUUUUCAGACGCCAUUAUAGCUAAAUUGAUUCCUGCCUUUGCAUUCUCAUCUCUUCGUAGAACCUCUUAAUAAACCUCUCAGCCCUCUGAUCAACGGACUCUUCCUGAUCAUACCCCAAAUUCAAUGGCUGCAAAUAUUCCUCAGGAAUGGUAGCUGCAGGAAGUGUUUGCAAUGGCAAUGCAAAAUCUACUACUUCUCCUUCUUCGGCUUUCAUUCCACCCAAGCGUCUACAGAGGAAAAACAUGGAGUAUAUAUUAUCUCUAUAGCUGCCAUUCUUGCACUUUUUUUUGCAGCGGCGAAUGAGAGGAGUACUUGAAGGAGAGAACUCAUAAUCUUUGAGAAACCCAUAGCUGUUGUUCUGCUUGAGUAACAUGAACCUUUUAAAUUUUCUUGUUUUCUUGAGGAAAAUGAGCUUGGGAAUGGCAGGUUUCCUCAUUUUAGAAACAAGAAUGGAGAUUCUAAGAAGAUUUGAGACCUUGUGGAAAAUGAGUAGUCUCUUUUUGGGCAAAUUUUGCGGCUGCUGCAUGGUUUUUGGGAGAAAGGAGUGCAAUCUUUUGAGUUGCAGAGAGGGAUUGAUGAUGUUGUUGGUAGGGGUUGAGUCAUGAGUCAUGAGCAAAGGGAGCUUUUUAAGAAUAGAGAAAAGGCAGAGCGGAGUAUGGAAAAUCAGAGAUGGUGGUGGGGAGCCUUUUU